AACAACCAUCAAGCCUGGCUUGUCCUUGGACCCCGUGCCGUUCCCGGCAGGUCUUAAAGAUAACGGCGGCGUUUACCGGACUCCAGAUAUAUCGAGCUUUCCAGGCACGUAUCCCGGUGGUCGGUAGGCGGUGGCCUAACCAUUUUUAUCUUCA
RNAcentral lists this unclassified non-coding RNA (154 nucleotides) under uncultured Ascomycota. RNAcentral describes it as "sequence contains ITS2". The record is from RNAcentral. Lineage: Eukaryota; Fungi; Ascomycota.